Thalassophryne amazonica is the source of this 98-nucleotide long non-coding RNA. RefSeq lists it as uncharacterized. The transcript is spliced from 3 exons. The record is from RefSeq and is a predicted model, not a curated record. NCBI's taxonomy places the organism in Eukaryota, Metazoa, Chordata, Actinopteri, Batrachoidiformes, Batrachoididae.
CUUCUGCGCUUUCACUUGAAAGUGAUGGCUCAGAUUUACAGAGGAUGUACAGAGAGGAGAUUCCACACUUCACCCUGAAACUAUCUAUUUGAGAGUGU